Long non-coding RNA from Panicum virgatum (switchgrass), 810 nucleotides. RefSeq lists it as uncharacterized. The transcript is spliced from 2 exons. Lineage: Eukaryota; Viridiplantae; Streptophyta; Magnoliopsida; Poales; Poaceae. The record is from RefSeq and is a predicted model, not a curated record.
CAGCCCAGCUUCUUUUCCCCCGCGCAACCCCAUCAGCAACCGGCGGCGGCGGCGGCGGCGGCGGCGUCGGCGGGGGGCAGCCCUGAGCGCAGGCGGAAGUGCAGCCCACGAGUGGGCGGGAGGGCAGUCGGCGUGCGGCUCGCGCGGCCCCGAGGAUCCUCGAGCAGCAGGGAGCGCGGCCGCUGGACCGGCAGCAGGGCUAAACCUGCACGGCUGCGCAAGCAGUUCAAAUCGGGAGCUGCGGGCCCGCUGAGCGCCGUUUUCCCCUCCACUGCGUUCUGCCCCGGCGGUCGCGGCGGCCUCGAGCGUGCUCCGUUGGUUGUCACGGAGCAUCCUCCCCUCCCUUUCCUUCCUGUGUACUAGCCGCUCGCAUGGUACUCUGAUUUUCAGUAGCGGAUUGAAUGUGGGAGACUGAAUGGUGUCAGAAAGGCUUUUCCCUUUUUGUUGUGCUAUUUUGGUGUGUGAUGGAUCCGUGGAUGCUCCAUCUUGGUGGUGUUGAUGUAGAAAUGUGCUUUGUUUAUUUCUAUAGGUUCAUGAGCACCCUUUCGACUCAUUGCCUCAUCCAUAGAACUAGCUAUUCAGUAUUAUACACCUAAUUUCUCAUGUUUUUGGUUAAUUUGUUUUUCCAGUAACACAUUGUACAUGCUUGGAUUUAGUAACAUGGUGAUCCAGUUAUUCAUUCCUAGCUAGUGAUUUCUUUAUACAAAUUCGUCGAGCAAAUUCAUAGAAUUUUUUGUGACUCAGCAAUGCCAAUGUACACAUCUUGGAUUCAGUAAUCUGGAGCCACAUUAAUAAAUAUUUAGUAAUUCA